UUACUGUGACAUUUAAGGAGGGAAAAACAAGCUGUCCUGAACUGCGGCGGUCUCAGUUGUAAUCUAUUUUGAGACCAUGUACUAUAAGGACAUCCCCGUUCACACAGGACUGCUAUCCCAUAAAAUAAGGAUUAAUAGGCAUCAGGAGAAUUAGCACCAGAGAGGGUGAUUGAUUGUAUGCCACCAAACAGCUAUGAAAUAACAGAGCCAGGAGUGAUCAUGACAGAGGAAGACAGCCUGUUCACUGCUCACCUCUUACUCUUCACACCCACAAGAAGACCUACUAUGUGGCCAGUAGACUACCGAAGGGUGGCAGAAUAUGCCACGCCAAACUAUGCCACUUUGGCAUAAGGAUAAUUUUGGCUAAAGGCACUUAAAAAAAAAAAAAAAAGCAAGAGCAAGAAGGGUGCUCUGACCUUCCUUCUCCUUCCUGGAAGCGGGAGACAAGACCCCACAUGGAAGAUGACCUCCCUGUGCCUCCGGAGGAAAGUAACUUCUUGUCAUCAAGGAUGGGAAGUUGAAGUGGAGAGAAUUCUGCACAACAGAGCUGUUAAAAUAAUCUCCAUCUUCCUUCGGCCUCCUCAUGUAUUUUAGUUACUUUUCCACAACUGCUAUCUCUGUUCAACCUAGCAUAAAAGCAUUUAGAUUUUGCCACUUCUUGAGGUCUUCAUUACUGCGGGGCGCUCCCACAUCAGUAAAGCUUACAUUAAAUGAA
Molecule: long non-coding RNA, 715 nt
Organism: Equus caballus (horse)
Lineage: Eukaryota; Metazoa; Chordata; Mammalia; Perissodactyla; Equidae
Source: RefSeq, a predicted model, not a curated record